CCGACAUUCCCUGAGCAGGGAGCAACAUAACAGUAAAUGAUAACUUAAAUGGACUAUAAAUGAGCCGAGUGGAAUGGAUUUAAAGAAGCAGCAGCAUGAAAGGGACGGCUGUAGAAUGGUGUUUAAUUUAUUAGUGUAUUCUUCAAGUGGAAUGGAUUUGACUGACGACGCUCUGAAAGGUGAACAAACAGAUGUGCUGAAUUUCAGACAGUAAAAUAACACUGUUCGGCAGCUAAGCACAGCAGCCAUGAAAGGCAGCCUCCCUCAGGGUCCUAGUGCCUGACCACAGUAGAGAUUUAAAUUUUGAAGCAGUGGAAACAGCCAGAAGGAUUACUUUAAGCCAAUAAAUAUAUUAUAAAUUAUAUUUCUAUAAAUAUA
This is a long non-coding RNA of Micropterus dolomieu (smallmouth bass), 378 nucleotides long. RefSeq lists it as uncharacterized. Lineage: Eukaryota; Metazoa; Chordata; Actinopteri; Centrarchiformes; Centrarchidae. The record is from RefSeq and is a predicted model, not a curated record. The transcript is spliced from 2 exons.